CAAGAAGCCGAAAGGCUACUUAAAACCAUCGCGAACUAUCCAAGUUGCUUCCGGCGGCGCGGCUCCCCUCACGGGGGACCGCAGCCCCCGCCUCUCAGGAGGUAAGGGGCAGCCGCCGGAGGGUACGAAACUCUGUAUUAUAGUGGUAUCUCUGAGUAUAAAACAAAUAAGUUA
Molecule: unclassified non-coding RNA, 174 nt
Filed under: soil metagenome
Description: partial internal transcribed spacer 1
Source: RNAcentral